GGACAUCAGGCGUAUCGGUGUGUCUCUGAUUGGCCACCAGAGGAGGAUGGUGAGCAGCAUUCAGAGUCUCCGUCUACAGUUCCUCACCGUCCAACACAACGGAUUCCACAACUAAACCAACCCCCCCCAACAGUCUAGGACUGCACAGACAGACAGAGAGGCCUGGGUGUGUUCAUUCGGGACACACCAAACGGAAAGAAAACAAACUGAAACAGAGAGCGAUUACCCGAACUCGUUCAAUAAGAAACGCUUGCUUCUGAACUUCUAGAUAUUCUCCCGGCGGACUGGUGAACUGUGUUACCCAUGGACUACUAUCAUGGCGUCUAUCCCUGAUCCAGAAGACUUGGGGAUGGAAGUAGUUUCAGCCCACGUCCUAAACAGCACCCUAUUUCCUUUAUGGUGCAGCGUUUAGAACAGACACAUGCGGUAUGAAGCACACGGAGAGACAAGUGUACUGAUGGGUCUUCCUCUAAUCAAGUGGACGGAGACCGACUGAAACAAGACUCUCAGUUUAGAGACCACUACUUUUGACAAAAUGGGAUGAUAAAAUGUGUCUUAUUUAUUUCCUUGUUCAUUUAUCAAGCAGCAGUUCACUGGAGAUUCUGACAAACUGGAAGAGAAAGGACAAUGUGGAGGAGAUUCUGACCAACUGGAAUAGAAAGGACAAUGUGGAGGAGAUUCUGAUCAACUGGAAUAGAAAGGACAAUGUGGAGGAGAUUCUGAUCAACUGGAAGAGAAAGGACAAUGUGGAGGAGAUUCUGAUCAACUGGAAGAGAAAGGACAAUGUGGAGGAGAUUCUGAUCAACUGGAAUAAAAAUGACAAUGCGGAAGAGAUUUUGGAGCAAAAGAGAAGACAAAUGAAUGUCAUCUGAUUUUAUAAAUGUAUAGUCCAUCAUCAACCAUAAUAUAUAUGAUGUAUUUGUGCAAAAGUAAUGUUCUGUGAAAAAGACUUGUUUAGUUUGAAUAGACAGCCUUGUUUAGUUUGAAUAGACAUCCUUGUAUAGUUUGAAUAGACAGCCUUGUAUAGUUUGAAUAGACAGCCUUGUUUAGUUUCAAUAGACAGCCUUGUUUAGUUUGAAUAGACAGCCUUGUUUAGUUUGAAUAGACAUCCUUGUUUAGUUUGAACAGACAUCUUUGUUUAGUUUUCAUCCACAAUCUAUAUCUUUACUCAGCAAUAUGCAGUUUCCUUAGCUGACAAGUCUGUUUCUGCUAUGUCACACUUCGUCACUCAUUGCCCUGCCUUGUUUGGCUUGACAAGGACAAAGUAGUCAAGGGCAACAACAGAUCUGGGACCAGGCUACAGUUUCCUCACUUUAUAGAACACAAAGAAGAGUGCAGCUCAACUCCACAACAAAUCACCAACCGAAAACAACCUCAAGACGUACCAUAAGAAACACUUUACUUUGACUGCAGUACAAUCCAUAGUGCUUGAGCAUCGAGAACAGGGCUCUCCAGCCCUGUUCCUGGAGAGAUACCUUCCUGUAGGUUUUAACUCCAACCCUGUUCCUGGAGAACAUACCUUCCUGUAGGUUUACACGCCAACCCUGUUCCUGGAGAGCUACCCUCCUGUAGGUUUACACUCCAACCCUGUUCCUGGAGAGAUAACCUCCUGGAGGUUUUAACUCCAACCCUGUUCCUGGAGAGAUACCCUCCUGUAGGUUUUAACUCCAACCCUGUUCCUGGAGAGAUACCCUCCUGGAGGUUUUAACUCCAACCCUGUUCCUGGAAAGAUACCCUCCUGAAGCGAAAACCUUCUGGACGGUAGCUAUUCAGGAACAGGGUUGGAGAGGCCUGAAUAUUCUAUAUUUUUCUGUCCUGUUGUUCUGGGAUGAGGUACUAAUGUAGGUUAAUGUAUUAGGGACCAAGGGCCGUUGGAAAACACGAUGGAACCAUGGUAGUAAAUACAAAACUUUAACUUUAAA
RNAcentral lists this long non-coding RNA (1922 nucleotides) under Salmo salar (Atlantic salmon). Its description in RNAcentral is "lncRNA (ENSSSAG00000098910.1)". Lineage: Eukaryota; Metazoa; Chordata; Actinopteri; Salmoniformes; Salmonidae. The record is from RNAcentral.